Alosa sapidissima (American shad) is the source of this 510-nucleotide long non-coding RNA. RefSeq lists it as uncharacterized. The record is from RefSeq and is a predicted model, not a curated record. Lineage: Eukaryota; Metazoa; Chordata; Actinopteri; Clupeiformes; Clupeidae. The transcript has 2 exons.
AGAGUCACUCGCUGAGCAAAUUAAAAUUUAGCUCUCGUGAGAACUCUGGAUUUCCAGGGUAGGGGCACCCCCUAACAAAAACUGAACUUUUUGUGGAGUUUCUCUGGGAAUACUGAAGGUAGGGGUGAGCUACCUCUCUGGCGUGUUUCCUUUGGUCCUUGGUUCAAAUGUAAUGUAUGAUAUUUUGGACAAAAGCGUCUGCUAAUAAAAAAUAAAUAUAAACACAAACAAAUCGCUGACUUUACCUUUAAUAUCACAAGCAUCUCAUAAGAGGGGUCCUCUCAAAUUGGUAAUGGAAGAAGCCCACAAGCAGGCUCUUCAUUAGCAAAACCUUUGUGCCUCAUUAUAUACAUAUUGUCCACUUAUUCUCCACUCAUAUUUUCUAGACACAGUCUUUCUGACUGCUCACACAGAUUUUAGUUAAUCAUUGGAAAGAGAUUAACCCAGACCCCUGGAUCAGGGCGAGGAGCGGCACAUCUUGGCCAUGCUAGCAGCCGUAAGACUGGCAAA